UCGGGACCCCUCUCUGUGACUGUGAGCUGUUCUGUUCUUUUGCCUAUUAAACUCCUGCUCCAAACUCACUCGAUGUGUGUGUGCAUGUCCUUGACCUCAAUAUCUGGUCGUGUGACCAAGAACCUCAGUAUUCACCCCAGACAACAAGGCUGCUUCAUUUUGAGGGCUCGUCUGGGAUUUGAAGGUGACUUCAUCAGAAUGGAAAGUCUCUGGCUGACAAACAAUUGCCUCCUCAAAUACCAAGCUUUGCUGCUAAAGGGAUCUGCAGUCCAGCUGAAAACCUGCCCUUGCCUGAGCCCAGCCACUUUCUCCCAGAGAAAACUGGAGAACCUAAACAUGAUUGUGAACAGAAUGGCUUCCGGUGGCCUGGGACUCCUUGGGGAAACAGAAAAUGCACCACAAAUCCCAUUUUAGGAAAAAUCUGUUUUCCUCGGAGCCCCUGGAAUUAAAGGCGCAGUAAGAUUGAGGAGCUAAAAACAGACUUGGGUGGAUGUCUGCAGCUGCAAGAAGAUGUGUGGGAACAGACACAGAAACUCUCCCUCCCAGAUAAGCAAGACAAAGAAACACAGAAUAAGAGUCCAUCUAUGUGGUCAGAGAAUGGGAUAAGAGCUGAUUUAAAAAAACUCUGCUCUAUAUAGAAGGCACACCUGGUCCCAACCAAACCACUGGACCCUAGGAGGAUAAGACCUCCUCUGCUCAUGAGCCCCCUCCUCAGUAGCCCAUUUAUAAAAACCCUGACAAUUUUACUACCACUUGGCAACCCGCUCGGGACCCCUCUCUGUGAUGGAGAGCUGUUCUUUUCUUUUGCCUAUUAAACUCCUGCUCCAAACUCACUGUGUGUGUGUCUGUCUGCAACCUCAAUCUCCUUGGCCAUGACACCAAAAACCUUAGUAUUUACCCCAGACAACAAGGCUGCUUCACCAGCCUUCUCACAUUAAAUUCCACACAUUGCAUGUCGGUGCUGUCACAGCUGUGUCUAUCACCACAGCAACAAGCAGACGGACUC
Molecule: long non-coding RNA, 1006 nt
Filed under: Homo sapiens (human)
Lineage: Eukaryota; Metazoa; Chordata; Mammalia; Primates; Hominidae
Description: HSALNT0033414
Source: RNAcentral